Molecule: ribosomal RNA, 467 nt
Filed under: uncultured bacterium
Lineage: Bacteria
Description: partial 16S ribosomal RNA
Rfam family: Bacterial small subunit ribosomal RNA
Source: RNAcentral
GACGAACGCUGGCGGCGUGCUUAACACAUGCAAGUCGAACGGAAAGGCCCUGCUUUUGUGGGGUGCUCGAGUGGCGAACGGGUGAGUAACACGUGAGUAACCUGCCCUUGACUUUGGGAUAACUUCAGGAAACUGGGGCUAAUACCGGAUAGGAGCUCCUGCUGCAUGGUGGGGGUUGGAAAGUUUCGGCGGUUGGGGAUGGACUCGCGGCUUAUCAGCUUGUUGGUGGGGUAGUGGCUUACCAAGGCUUUGACGGGUAGCCGGCCUGGGAGGGUGGCCGGCCACAUUGGGACUGAGAUACGGCCCAGACUCCUACGGGAGGCAGCAGUGGGGAAUAUUGCACAAUGGGCGGAGGCCUGAUGCAGCAACGCCGCGUGCGGGAUGACGGCCUUCGGGUUGUAAACCGCUUUCGCCUGUGACGAAGCGUGAGUGACGGUAAUGGGUAAAGAAGCACCGGCUAACUACGU